UACGUAGGGUGCGAGCGUUAAUCGGAAUUACUGGGCGUAAAGCGUGCGCAGGCGGUUUUGUAAGCCGGAUGUGAAAUCCCCGGGCUUAACCUGGGAAUGGCAUUUGGGACUGCAAGGCUUGAGUGCGGCAGAGGAGACUGGAAUUCCUGGUGUAGCAGUGAAAUGCGUAGAUAUCAGGAGGAACACCGGUGGCGAAGGCGGGUCUCUGGGCCGUAACUGACGCUGAGGAGCGAAAGCGUGGGGAGCGAACAGG
RNAcentral lists this ribosomal RNA (253 nucleotides) under uncultured bacterium. RNAcentral describes it as "partial 16S ribosomal RNA". It matches the Rfam family "Bacterial small subunit ribosomal RNA", at positions 524 to 776 of the family's 1533-position model. The record is from RNAcentral.